This is a non-coding RNA of Cajanus cajan (pigeon pea), 305 nucleotides long. The record is from RefSeq and is a predicted model, not a curated record. NCBI's taxonomy places the organism in Eukaryota, Viridiplantae, Streptophyta, Magnoliopsida, Fabales, Fabaceae.
CAGAUCUCACAAAGAAAAGCGAUCCUCAUAUGCCCCCGAGAAUGGCGUGCGGUAUGAUGGAAUUUAUAGAAUUGAAAAGUGCUGGCAGAUAGCUGGAUUGCAGGGUUUCAAAGUUUGCCGGUAUCUAUUUGUUAGAUGUGACAAUGAACCCGCCCCGUGGACAAGCGAUGAUCAUGGAGAUAGGCCCAGACCCUUGCCCGUAAUUCGUGAACUGAAAAAGGCUACAGUCAUAUUUGAAAGGACCGAGACUCCAUCUUGGGAUUUUGAUGUGAGUGAUUAUUUAGGAGUUCUUCUUCCUUUUUCGA